GGGCUCCUGGUGACUGAAAGAUGCGCUCUUAUAAGGAUUGAGCCUCGGCUCAGUCUAGUGGCAGACGGGUGCAUAACGCGUAAGCAACCUGCCCUCCACUGGGGGAUAGCCCGGCGAAAGCGGGGGUAACCCCCCACGGUCCAGUUUGAUCACCUGGUCAGCCUGGUAAACAUUGAUGGGUGGAGGAGGGGCUUGCGUCUGAUUAGGUAGUUGGCAGGGUAAGAGCCUACCAAGCCGAUGAUCAGUAGGGGUUCUGAGAGGAUUGGCCCCCACAUGGGUACUGAGAGACGGACCCAACUCCUACGGGAGGCAGCAGUAGGGAAUAUUGGGCAAUGGGCGCAAGCCUGACCCAGCCAUGCCGCGUGCCGGAUGAAGGCGCUCAGCGUUGUAAACGGCUUUUAUCUGGGAAGAACGGCAGGAUUGCGAUCUUGUAUGACGGUACCAGAGGAAUCAGCACCGGCUAACUCCGUGCCAGCAGCCGCGGUAAUACGGAGGGUGCGAGCGUUGUCCGGAUUUAUUGGGUUUAAAGGGUGCGUAGGUGGCCUCUUAAGUCUGGUUUGAAAGCCGGUGGCUCAACCAUCGGAUGUGGCUGGAAACUGGGGGGCUUGAAUGAUUUGGCGGUAGCCGGAACGGGUCAUGUAGCGGUGAAA
Molecule: ribosomal RNA, 650 nt
Filed under: bacterium
Lineage: Bacteria
Description: bacterial SSU rRNA
Rfam family: Bacterial small subunit ribosomal RNA
Source: RNAcentral